RNAcentral lists this long non-coding RNA (2808 nucleotides) under Zalophus californianus (California sea lion). RNAcentral's name for it is "lncRNA (ENSZCAG00015000946.1)". Lineage: Eukaryota; Metazoa; Chordata; Mammalia; Carnivora; Otariidae. The record is from RNAcentral.
AGCUGAUAGGAGCGCGGGUCUGGUGGGUUUCCAUCCCCUGCCCUGAGCCUUCCAGGGAGUCUUCUGUUUCCCAUGCAGGGAGAGGGGAAAGGAGGCCACGAAGCCAGUGGCGAAAGCCCCCAAAACAUUUCCUUGGAGACCGGUCAUCAUGUCUUGUCCACUGCUGUGACCCCAGCACCGCCAAUCCCCGCAAUACACAUGAGCCAUCCUGAACUUUGCAGACGCCAUUCCCUCUGCCUCGCAUGCGCUUCCCUCCCCGCUGAACCUGGCCGAGUCCUGCUCACCUGCAGGUCACGGCUUCAUCCCCUUCUUCAGGGAGGCUGGCCUGGUCAGCUGUGUUCUCACCACACCAUGUACUUCUGUAGACUAGCCUUCAGCACAGAUGCUGUUGAAUACGUGACAGAAUCAUUUUGCGAAAAGUUGGACAUAGUUUAGAAGCAGACUGGAGCCCAAGCCUCGACCCAACCCCUUGCAAGAACCACUGAAGGUCAGACUCAUCGGGGCCAGCUCAAUCUGAAGUAAUGUAAAACCAUGAAGGCAUCCGACAACCAGUUGGAUAAUGACACUGGAAGAGGCAAUGGUCACAGAGCACGAAGGCAGUAAAACACUGCGUCACAAAGCCUUAAGAAUACGAAUACCCUUUGCUGUAGCAAUUGCACCUCUAGGAGUUCAUUAUAAUAAACUGCUGCAUGGAACAGAGAUGAAUUUAUGAGGAUGUCUACUACAGUGUUGCUCACACAGUGAAAAAAUGGAAAUAAUCUAGAUAGCCAACAACAGGAGAUUCGUUGCAAGUAAAAAUUCAGACAUUUCCCUGCCACCAUUAAAAAUGAUGUUGUACAUGUGCGUUACUGGCAUGGAGUCACACUUGGUGUGUGUCAAGAACUGUUCAGUGACAAGUGACAGAAAUCCAUCUCAAAAUGGAAAAAGCAAAGGGAGGAUUUAUUGGUUUAUGGAAUCCAAAGGAGAGUUGGACAACCGAGGUUCAGGAAGGACCAUGGUGUGACCAAACUUUAAAAACAACUGGAAUGUGGGACUCAGACAGCUCAAGGAUUCCCUCUCCGUCUGCUGUGUUUGCCUCUCCCCACACCCAGACUUUCUCACUGCAGACCAGAUAGGGGGAAACAAGUUUCGGCCACAAGGAAGAGUCUACCUGAAGUCUCCAGCCCCAAAUCCAAAAAAUCUUAAGCAAGGAAUAUAUUGGCCACCUUAGGUCGAGGAUCCAAACCAGAGCAGUCCACUGUGGUCAGGGUAUGUUGGCACUGUGGUUGACCCAACUGGGGUAAAGACCUGCCUCUGGACCAAUCCACUAAGACCAGGGGAGGGGACUCUUGACCUAACAGGAGAGCUGCAGAAUUAAGCAAGGAAUAAGGGCGGUUCCUAGGAAAGGGAAGUGGCCGGUAAUCUCAGUUACCCUCUCCCUAGCGUUCAAGGAAACGAUUAACAAGACAGGAAGCACAGUGAGGCCCCAUUUCUGUGAAAAUGAUGGGGGCUGGACAAUAGGAGAAAGAAGUCUGGAAAGGUAUUCUAGUGUUGAAAGUGAUUUUCUUGCAGCUGCGCUGUGUUUUCUACAAGGAAUGCCAAUGAUUUGUGAGAUUAAUUUUUUUUAUUUAAAUUCAAUUAGAUUUAAAAAAAUUUAAGAGAGAAAAGCCAUACUGACUCCAUGAGUAUUGAGAAUGUUGACUCGGCCUUCCCUGCCUCUCCCUUUCAGCCAGCCCAUGCUGGAUUUGAAACAAACAAUUCUGUGACCUGCACGCCUCACAUGUGUCUCCAGUCACCCAUCCAUCAACUACUGGGUAUUGACAGGGGCCCAGUAAGUGCCAGGCAGCAAUGUGUACUGGAGAUGCUGUGACCAGUAAGGGCCAGACCCUGCCCUCCAGGAGCUCCCAGUCUGGAGGAAGAAACAAGAAUGCAUAUCAGUUAUGUUUUAAGAAGCUCAAAACAGGGGCGCCUGGGUGGCUCAGUCGUUAAGCGUCUGCCUUCGGCUCAGGUCAUGAUCCCGGGGUCCUGGAGUCGAGCCCCGCCUCGGGCUCCCUGCUCAGGGGGAAGCCUGCUUCUCCCUCUGCCUGCCCACUUGUGCCCUCUCUUGCUGUCUCUCUCGCUAUCUCUGUCAAUAUCUCUGUCUUUCUCUCUCAAAUAAAUAAAAAAAGAAGCUCAAAACAGAAGUGUGAGCAGUGUGCCCCGAAAAUAUAGACCAAAGAGCAACACCUUCUGUUUAUGUUUAUGGGUAUCUUGAAAGGUGGUUUGAGGCACUUGAGGUCUCGGGCGUACGCAAAGGUACAGGGUUCACCAGCAGUUGGCAGGUAGCUGGGUGUGGCAGGAAGUCUGAGGGGCAGGCAGUGAACUCCAUUUACUAAGCAUUUAGUGAGCAUCUAUCCUGUGUCGGGCUUUUGCCUAGGGGCUUGCUGAUGAGAUAGGGAAAGCAUUUGGGAUUCAAUUCCAGAGGACCUGGAAUGCCCUUCUAUCUCUUUUCCAAUAAAACAAAAUUGAAAUUGGGGCGCCUGGGUGGCUCAGUGGGUUAAGCAUCUGAUUUCAGCUCAGGUCAUGAUUCUGGGGGUCCUGGGAUGGAGCCCUGUGUCCUGUGGGGCUCGCGCUCAGCGAGGAGUCUGCUUGUUCUUCUUCCUCUCCUUCUGUCCUCUGGCCCUCCCCCGGCUUGUGUGCACGCUCGCUCCCCCUGCCCCUGUCUCAAAUAAAUAAAUAAAAAUCUUUAAAAUGUGGGCCUGUCUCUUCUCCCCCAGGAGGGAUAAAGAUCCCACCCAGCCUGGGCCCUCUGGAGUAUCUUUAGCUUGUGUACCCCCACAUUUGGGGAAG